RNAcentral lists this ribosomal RNA (481 nucleotides) under uncultured bacterium. RNAcentral describes it as "bacterial SSU rRNA". It matches the Rfam family "Bacterial small subunit ribosomal RNA", at positions 30 to 507 of the family's 1533-position model. The record is from RNAcentral.
AUUGAACGCUGGCGGCAUGCCUUACACAUGCAAGUCGAACGGUAACAGGCCGCAAGGUGCUGACGAGUGGCGAACGGGUGAGUAAUACAUCGGAACGUGCCCGAGAGUGGGGGAUAACGGAGCGAAAGCUUUGCUAAUACCGCAUACGCCCUACGGGGAAAGGGGGGGAUCGCAAGACCUCUCACUAUUGGAGCGGCCGAUAUCGGAUUAGCUAGUUGGUGGGGUAAAGGCUCACCAAGGCGACGAUCCGUAGCUGGUUUGAGAGGACGACCAGCCACACUGGGACUGAGACACGGCCCAGACUCCUACGGGAGGCAGCAGUGGGGAAUUUUGGACAAUGGGGGAAACCCUGAUCCAGCCAUGCCGCGUGAGUGAAGAAGGCCUUCGGGUUGUAAAGCUCUUUCGGCUGGGAAGAAAUCGCACAGGCUAAUACUCUGUGUGGAUGACGGUACCAGCAUAAGAAGCACCGGCUAACUACGUG